GGAAGUGUGGCAGAGAGGUUGAAUGCACCGCUUUCGAAAAGCGGCAAGGGGUAAAACUCUUCGUGAGUUCGAAUCUCACCACUUCCG
RNAcentral lists this transfer RNA (87 nucleotides) under Candidatus Nomurabacteria bacterium. RNAcentral describes it as "tRNA-Ser". It matches the Rfam family "tRNA". From Rfam's summary of the family: Transfer RNA (tRNA) molecules are approximately 80 nucleotides in length. Their secondary structure includes four short double-helical elements and three loops (D, anti-codon, and T loops). The record is from RNAcentral. Lineage: Bacteria; Candidatus Nomuraibacteriota.